UUACGGCCAUAGCACGUUGAAACGACGGUUCCCGUAAGAUCACUGAAGUUAAGCAGCUAUGAAACUGAUCAGUACCUGGAUGGGUGAUUGCUUGGGAUAUCAAGUGUUGUAA
Molecule: ribosomal RNA, 112 nt
Filed under: Acanthosepion pharaonis
Lineage: Eukaryota; Metazoa; Mollusca; Cephalopoda; Sepiida; Sepiidae
Source: RNAcentral